RNAcentral lists this ribosomal RNA (253 nucleotides) under uncultured bacterium. Its description in RNAcentral is "partial 16S ribosomal RNA". It matches the Rfam family "Bacterial small subunit ribosomal RNA", at positions 524 to 776 of the family's 1533-position model. The record is from RNAcentral.
GACAGAGGGGGCAAGCGUUGCUCGGAAUUACUGGGCGUAAAGGGCGCGCAGGCGGCUCAUUUUGUCAGGCGUGAAAGCCCCGGGCUUAACCUGGGAACUGCGUUUGAUACGGAUGGGCUAGAGUUCGGGAGAGGAGAGUGGAAUUCCCAGUGUAGAGGUGAAAUUCGUAGAUAUUGGGAAGAACACCGGUGGCGAAGGCGGCUCUCUGGACCGAUACUGACGCUGAGGCGCGAAAGCGUGGGGAGCAAACAGG